RNAcentral lists this ribosomal RNA (486 nucleotides) under uncultured bacterium. Its description in RNAcentral is "partial 16S ribosomal RNA". It matches the Rfam family "Bacterial small subunit ribosomal RNA", at positions 30 to 507 of the family's 1533-position model. The record is from RNAcentral.
AUUGAACGCUGGCGGCAUGCCUUACACAUGCAAGUCGAACGGCAGCACGGGUGCUUGCACCUGGUGGCGAGUGGCGAACGGGUGAGUAAUACAUCGGAACAUGUCCUGUAGUGGGGGAUAGCCCGGCGAAAGCCGGAUUAAUACCGCAUACGAUCUACGGAUGAAAGCGGGGGACCUUCGGGCCUCGCGCUAUAGGGUUGGCCGAUGGCUGAUUAGCUAGUUGGUGGGGUAAAGGCCUACCAAGGCGACGAUCAGUAGCUGGUCUGAGAGGACGACCAGCCACACUGGGACUGAGACACGGCCCAGACUCCUACGGGAGGCAGCAGUGGGGAAUUUUGGACAAUGGGCGAAAGCCUGAUCCAGCAAUGCCGCGUGUGCGAAGCAGGCCUUCGGGUUGUAAAGCACUUUUGUCCGGAAAGAAAUCCUUGGCCCUAAUACGGUCGGGGGAUGACGGUACCGGAAGAAUAAGCACCGGCUAACUACGUG